RNAcentral lists this ribosomal RNA (471 nucleotides) under Salmonella enterica subsp. enterica serovar Oranienburg. RNAcentral describes it as "partial 16S ribosomal RNA". It matches the Rfam family "Bacterial small subunit ribosomal RNA", at positions 1 to 468 of the family's 1533-position model. The record is from RNAcentral. Lineage: Bacteria; Pseudomonadati; Pseudomonadota; Gammaproteobacteria; Enterobacterales; Enterobacteriaceae. RNAcentral also lists the same sequence under 2 other names.
AAAUUGAAGAGUUUGAUCAUGGCUCAGAUUGAACGCUGGCGGCAGGCCUAACACAUGCAAGUCGAACGGUAACAGGAAGCAGCUUGCUGCUUUGCUGACGAGUGGCGGACGGGUGAGUAAUGUCUGGGAAACUGCCUGAUGGAGGGGGAUAACUACUGGAAACGGUGGCUAAUACCGCAUAACGUCGCAAGACCAAAGAGGGGGACCUUCGGGCCUCUUGCCAUCAGAUGUGCCCAGAUGGGAUUAGCUUGUUGGUGAGGUAACGGCUCACCAAGGCGACGAUCCCUAGCUGGUCUGAGAGGAUGACCAGCCACACUGGAACUGAGACACGGUUCAGACUCCUACGGGAGGCAGCAGUGGGGAAUAUUGCACAAUGGGCGCAAGCCUGAUGCAGCCAUGCCGCGUGUAUGAAGAAGGCCUUCGGGUUGUAAAGUACUUUCAGCGGGGAGGAAGGUGUUGUGGUUAAUAACC